RNAcentral lists this ribosomal RNA (408 nucleotides) under uncultured bacterium. Its description in RNAcentral is "partial 16S ribosomal RNA". It matches the Rfam family "Bacterial small subunit ribosomal RNA", at positions 28 to 526 of the family's 1533-position model. The record is from RNAcentral.
GACGAACGCUGACGGCGUGCUUAACACAUGCAAGUCGAAGGGAGUGGCGAACGGGUGAGUAAUACGUGGGUAACCUGCCCUUUUCUUUGGGAUAAGCCUGGGAAACUGGGCUUAAUACCGGAUGGAAUGGGAUGGGCUCGCGGUCUAUUAGUUUGGUGGUGGGGUGAUGGCUUACCAAGGCUUUGACGGGUAGCCGGCCGGAGAGGGGGGUCAGUCACACUGGGACUGAGAUACGGUCCAGACUCCUACGGUGGGCAGCAGUGGGGAAUAUUGCACAAUGGGCGCAAGCCUGAUGCAGCCAUGCCGCGUGUAUGAAGAAGGCCUUCGGGUUGUAAAGUACUUUCAGCGGGGAGGCGUUACCCGCAGAAGAAGCACCGGCUAACUCCGUGCCAGCAGCCGCGGUAAUUC